CCGUCGACCGCCAACCGAACUCAUCCAUAGGCCGACCUUCCGCUCAGCAGGAGCAUCCUCUGCUCGCGCUGCACCGUCGGUUGGUGGCGCUGGACCCGCGGUAGCAAGGCGUCGGUUGUCUCCGCCGCCUGCACCAGCCGCUGUCACUCGUCCCGGUUGGCCAGCACCAUCCCACUUCACCCUCUCCAAGCACAGCGCGAUUAGGCCUUACGCAUCCACUCCGGCAAUCGUCUCGGUUGCGCCACUUCACCUCAAUUUCGCAAAUUAACUUCAAAGCGGCGCUCGAUCACAGAUGAAUCUCAGGUGAUUUCAUUCAUUGGUAAGAGGGACUAUGCAGGUAGUAGUGCAUUUUUGGGCACAUAUUGUUGCAAUCUCGUAGUUGCACAUGAGAUUUCUUCCAAUCGGCUUCACAUACAUGGGAUUUCUUCCAAUCGGCUUCACAUACAUGGGAUUUAUGCUCUCUCCCUCUCCCUGCAGGGAUGAUGGGAGCGAUUCAGCAGCCGACGCCUAUGCCAACCAACUAGUUGCAGGAGACGAACAGGAGCCCUACGAUGUGCUGUGAAGCCCCGGACCUGUCCAGAUCCCACACGCACACCUCGUGCAGAGCGCCUCUGUCCAGAUGCUGAGGGCAGGAUAUCUUCUUGCUAAGAUCCAGGUGCUCUUUCCUAAUGAAUCAGUACCAAUCAUUCUUGUUCAUAUGAUCAGGACAAUUGGUCCAAUUGACAUGGAAAUGCUUGCGUUGGGACAGGAGACACAGAAGUACUUCACAGAUGAUUAUGACCUUUUCCACAAAAAAAUGAGGAGACAGGACAAUUGGAAUAUUUGAUCCCAGAGAAUCAUCUUUGCGGCACCACUUGCAAUGCCCCGACAAGAAGUUUGUUGAUUUUCUGUCGUACCUGCUGCAAAUAAAUCCCAGAAAGAGACCAACGGCCAUUGAAGCAUUGCAACACCGAUGGCUUUCAGUAGUAUAUUGCUGAGCUUGCCAAUCAAGCUCUUUCGUCACAAAUUGGGACAGUGUCUGAAGUCACUCCUCUUUCCUCAUGGGUAGGAUCAGUUUCUGAAGUUACUUGGCUCAUGAAACAACACCCUUCCAUUGGAGCAGGAUUUGGCUUCGUGGGGUCAAUCCUUGGCAGUGAAAUCCUGUUUUGCAAUGUGAAUUGAUCGUGGAUACACGCUAGUUCGUGCAUGUAAAUAUGAGAAAAGUUACCUAUUAUAUAUGUACAGUUGCGAUGUACAACGAUGUAAUUUAUCCAACUAUAGCCAAUUAAAUUGUUAUGUUUCUGUAUUUCUUGAUCUGGCAUUACUCUGAUUUAAUUUCUUUGUUCUUGAGUUAA
Panicum virgatum (switchgrass) is the source of this 1334-nucleotide long non-coding RNA. RefSeq lists it as uncharacterized. The transcript is spliced from 3 exons. The record is from RefSeq and is a predicted model, not a curated record. Lineage: Eukaryota; Viridiplantae; Streptophyta; Magnoliopsida; Poales; Poaceae.